UUCACCUACGGGAGGCAGCAGUGGGGAAUAUUGCACAAUGGGGGAAACCCUGAUGCAGCAACGCCGCGUGAGUGAAGAAGUAUUUCGGUAUGUAAAGCUCUAUCAGCAGGGAAGAAAAUGACGGUACCUGAGUAAGAAGCCCCGGCUAACUACGUGCCAGCAGCCGCGGUAAUACGUAGGGGGCAAGCGUUAUCCGGAUUUAUUGGGUUUAAAGGGUGCGCAGGCGGUCUGUUAAGUCAGCGGUCAAAGCCCGGGGCUCAACCCCGGCCCGCCGUUGAAACUGGCAGUCUCGAGUU
Molecule: ribosomal RNA, 296 nt
Filed under: uncultured bacterium
Lineage: Bacteria
Description: partial 16S ribosomal RNA
Rfam family: Bacterial small subunit ribosomal RNA
Source: RNAcentral